ACUUGUAAUAACACGUGUAUUAUUAAUACUCAAGAUAAUAAUAUUCUUGAUCCUUGUGAUGAUGCUUCAUCUUUUGUGAGCACUUCUUCUGUAGAGUUAUCAUUUCGAGAAAGAUUGGCAUCCUGUUUCGUACAAACAUUUCCUGGUAGAAAUUUUGGCCGGGUACUUGCACAGCAUUGACCAGCGUGCCACACUGCCACUUCAGCUAGCAUGACACGCUGGUAAGCGCCAUCCGUGAAAUCGUCACAUUUGCCCGCUAGCGCCAAUUUAGAAAUUGAUUUGAUGUGGUGCUGGCAUGGCGCUAACAUGGCGCCAGUAAGGUACUAUCAUAAUGCUGAUAUGGGACUAGCGAAGUUUCAACGUGGCACAUACAUGACACUGUCCUAUGAAUUAAUAAUAUUAUUGAACUAUUCGAUUAUUAAUGAAAAACCUACACUGUUAGAAAUUUCUCAAUGACUUUUAAUGAUCAUGUAAAGGAAGCUUGGUUCAAGCUCGUAAAUGAAAAUCGGCCUAACUCCAGAAAAGAAAACUGAUUUUGGUUUAUUUUGAUCGCGCUGCGAGUGGUCUUUGGCUGGGAGAAAACGAACACAGCGGGUGAUUACGAUAAUGGCUAUUCGAGUAAUUUUCUCUAGGACCGAAAUAUAUGAUAAGCACAGCCAUCUACUACCAUCAUGAUUUGUGACAACUCAAUGUUGUCUGGUAUAGCCAAAUCAACAUCACGAGCAAGUUACGAGUUGCGAGUUCCGUGAGUUUGUAGCAGGAAAUUGUGAUUCAAAUAAUUCUACAAUAAAAACUGCAAUCGCUCAUUUAAAAUAUAAUACUGAGUCUUGGCCUGAACUUUUACGCAGUUGAUCGGUGACAUUCUUUGCGGUUUCAGUAUCUCAAAGAAACUAGACCAAUAGAAACGCAAAAAGGGAAGUCUUCUGUUCAACAAUUGCAAGAGUCUGCUGUUUUAGUAAGCGAUUAUUUAAAAAAUUGGCCCGUGUUUGCACAGCCUAAUGGAUAUUUACUGAUUCAACAAGAUUUUAAAGAUUUAUAUCCUGGAGGAGAAGAUGGUUUAAUAUCCAAAUGGGAUUCAAGUAAAGAAAUUUUGCUUUUUUAAAUGCUGAAAUUACAAAAUUAGAUGAAUAUGCUAGGAAAUUACUUGCAGAUUUAACUGUUACAAAUCCCGAUCAAAAUGAUGUAAUUCUAUUUUACUUACUACCAUCACUUAUUUGCAAAAAAACAAGAGGUGCGAGCGUAGGUACACCAUCUGUAGCAGAAGCUAAAAAAGCUUUUAUUCUUCAUGUCUCUAUUCCGGGAGAUUUGAAUCGUCAAAUAAAAGCACACUGCGAAUAUCUAGCAAAAAAAUGGUCUAAAUUUACAACCAAUGUUAAUAUUUGUUGGGCUUACUUUAGCAAAUAUUACUGCUAGUUACAUUCAAAUAAAUAUUGUAAGAUAUCAACCCCGUACUCCAUUAAAUGCUCUGGACACAUGUUUCAAGGUGUUUUAUGCACUGAAUGUUGCAUAUCCAAAGGAGUGUCAAACAGUUUGGCUUUUUAUCCAAAAAUAUUUUUACAACAUAUACCUUAAAGAAGAUUAUAACAUUCUUCAAGUGACCAGUAUACUGAGUUCCUUCCUGAAAGGAUUCGUUUCCAAGAAAAUUUAGUGCACUGACAAUAUUAACACUUACGAGGAGUACAUUUUUUUUACAUUCAAAUAAAAUUCGAAAACCUGAA
Monomorium pharaonis (pharaoh ant) is the source of this 1718-nucleotide long non-coding RNA. RefSeq lists it as uncharacterized. The record is from RefSeq and is a predicted model, not a curated record. NCBI's taxonomy places the organism in Eukaryota, Metazoa, Arthropoda, Insecta, Hymenoptera, Formicidae. The transcript is spliced from 8 exons.